GAUGAACGCUGGCGGCGUGCCUAAUACAUGCAAGUCGAGCGAACGGACGAGAAGCUUGCUUCUCUGAUGUUAGCGGCGGACGGGUGAGUAACACGUGGAUAACCUACCUAUAAGACUGGGAUAACUUCGGGAAACCGGAGCUAAUACCGGAUAAUAUUUUGAACCGCAUGGUUCAAAAGUGAAAGACGGUCUUGCUGUCACUUAUAGAUGGAUCCGCGCUGCAUUAGCUAGUUGGUAAGGUAACGGCUUACCAAGGCAACGAGGCAUAGACGACCUGAGAGGGUGAUCGGCCACACGGGAACUGAGACACGGUCAAUACUCCUACGAGACGCAGCAGUAGGGAAUCGUCCGCAAUAGUCGAAAGCCUGACGGAGCAACGCCGCGUGAGUGAUGAAGGUCUUCGGAUCGUAAAACUCUGUUAUUAGGGAAGAACAGAUGUGGAAGUAACUGUGCACAUCUUGACGGUACCUAAUCAGAAAGCCACGGCUAACUACGUG
RNAcentral lists this ribosomal RNA (497 nucleotides) under uncultured bacterium. Its description in RNAcentral is "partial 16S ribosomal RNA". It matches the Rfam family "Bacterial small subunit ribosomal RNA", at positions 28 to 507 of the family's 1533-position model. The record is from RNAcentral.